RNAcentral lists this ribosomal RNA (981 nucleotides) under Triticum aestivum (bread wheat). RNAcentral's name for it is "partial small subunit ribosomal RNA". The record is from RNAcentral. Lineage: Eukaryota; Viridiplantae; Streptophyta; Magnoliopsida; Poales; Poaceae.
AUGAUUCAAAAGUGCCCUUUGGGAGAUGCAUAUGUGCAAGUUGAUUCUGUAGCGGACAGAGAUUGGUUAGUCAACCGCAGUCCGCAUAACUUUCAGAAUCAUCAGAUCAGUUUUGUAAAGCACAAUGAAGGUAUUAACCACAGAAAUUUUCAGUACAAUCAGGUUUGUUGGUUAGCACUGCUUGCUUUUCCUGUCGAUCUGUGGGACUUACAGCACAUUAGAGGAGUGGUAGAAGAUUUUGCUCAUGUUGAUAUGUGGGACAAGAUGGCAAGUGACUAUUCUAAAGUGGUUAUUAAGGUUCUAGUUGCUGAUGUGGCUCUAAUCCCUCACAGUUGCAUUGUGACUGCUGGCAAUAAACAUGCAGCGGAAUCUUGGACAGUUCCAAUAGUCAUUCUAGAGCAUCAUUUGUUGGGUGGCCUACCUCCUGAUGAAGAUGACGUUCCACCCAAUGGUGGGAAUUUGCAUCCCCUCCCAGUCGUUCAGCCAGGACCUGUGCCACCUCCUGGCUUGGACAUCUGGCCUGAUUGGGAAGAACAGAUUCAUCAGCAACCUUUUCACCAGGAGGAUCUCAAUGACCAUGUCCGGGUUCCUAUACCCCAUGCGAAUCAGCUCGGACAGAACUUUAAUCAUAUCUUUGCGGCUCCUGGACUCAAUCUGAUGGCUGAUCAAGAGGAUUUCGCUAAUCACCAUCAACUGAAUGCAGAAGAUUUUGCGGACCUGCAGGAACCGAUGAAUCCUAUCAUUCAGAAUCAGCCUCUCGCCAAUGAUCAGGAUGUGGGUCACAUGGAAAACUUGGACCUUAAUUUACCUGUUGAAGAUAAUGAUAGUGAGUUAACUGUCACCUUCAGCUCUGAACCUGACAAUUCCUCACAGGACUCUGCUAACAAUGGUGGUCCUCUAGAUCUGAACAUGGAGGUUAAUGUUAUGCAUGAUCUUGAUCAGCAGGAAAUUGUUGGGCCCAUCCAGCAGCCUAAUGGAUAG